Molecule: ribosomal RNA, 301 nt
Filed under: uncultured bacterium
Lineage: Bacteria
Description: partial 16S ribosomal RNA
Rfam family: Bacterial small subunit ribosomal RNA
Source: RNAcentral
CAGUCGCCGCGGGAAUACGUAGGUGGCAAGCGUUGUCCGGAAUUAUUGGGCGUAAAGGGCUCGCAGGCGGUUUCUUAAGUCUGAUGUGAAAGCCCCCGGCUCAGCCGGGGAGGGUCAUUGGAAACUGGGAAACUUGAGUGCAGAAGAGGAGAGUGGAAUUCCACGUGUAGCGGUGAAAUGCGUAGAGAUGUGGAGGAACACCAGUGGCGAAGGCGACUCUCUGGUCUGUAACUGACGCUGAGGAGCGAAAGCGUGGGGAGCGAACAGGAUUAGAUACCCCCGUAGUCCCUGUCUCUUAUAC